CCCAGCCUAUGCAGGACGGGUAAGUUUUACCACAUAAAAAGGGACUUACCUCAGGAGUCAGGCCUCCAUUUUGCCAGAGCGGUGAGGAGAGAAGGAGUAAAGCAAGGGCUGCCGGUAAGCCAUCCAUCAAUCUGAGUUCUGAGCUGAAUUUACAGUUACAAACAAAAUUGAAAUGCUACAAAUGAAACUGAAGGCUACAAGCUUGUACUAAAGCAUAGUUUGAAAUCCUCCACACUGGCCUCAUCUACUGCAAUGGACACCCUCACUCUUGCCCACGCUCAACAUCACUGCAGAUGCUGGGAGACCUUGGGCUGCCUUCUCAUGCCACCGCCUCAAGGGACCCCUCUCACCAUCACACUGGCUCAAUCUCCUCUGUGCUGCACAGACCAGCUCUCCACAGAAAAGGCAGCAAGAUCGACUCCAAAAUUAUAACCAAUGAAAGACCUGCAGUCUGCCUUCCUCAGAUACCUCCUCAAGCUGAC
This is a long non-coding RNA of Chiloscyllium plagiosum (whitespotted bambooshark), 482 nucleotides long. RefSeq lists it as uncharacterized. NCBI's taxonomy places the organism in Eukaryota, Metazoa, Chordata, Chondrichthyes, Orectolobiformes, Hemiscylliidae. The record is from RefSeq and is a predicted model, not a curated record.